UACAGAGGGGGCAAGCGUUAUUCGGAAUUAUUGGGCGUAAAGGGCGCGUAGGCGGCUUCGCAAGUGACGGGUGAAAGCCCUCGGCUUAACCGAGGAACUGCCUGUCAGACUGUAAGGCUUGAGACCGGGAGAGGUGAGUGGAAUUCCCAGUGUAGCGGUGAAAUGCGUAGAUAUUGGGAGGAACACCAGUGGCGAAGGCGGCUCACUGGACCGGAACUGACGCUGAGGCGCGAAAGCGUGGGGAGCAAACAGG
Molecule: ribosomal RNA, 253 nt
Filed under: uncultured bacterium
Lineage: Bacteria
Description: partial 16S ribosomal RNA
Rfam family: Bacterial small subunit ribosomal RNA
Source: RNAcentral